GCGACGGGAGAGUGAAAGACAUAGGACACAAACAGAGGAACCCGCAGGGUUACAUAGGACUGAACCAGAUUCAGCACCUACAGACACAGGGUCACUCUUCCUGGAACGGACUGUGACGGUGGCUGUCUUUGAAAGAGUUGUUCUGACCCAUUGGUGUGACAGCACAGGAAACCUACCAUCAUUUUAAAUAUCCUGUCUGAGUGCCGAAACCAGACUGUUGUGUCUACUCCAGUCAAGAUGCACUUGGUGAGUGUUAAUGUUUGUGUGUGUGUGUGUGUUUGGGAGGUCAGAGAGGCUCCCAGAGCGAUCAUGAUAAAUUAAUUCAGAGGGGAUAGGCCCUUCCAGGGUGGGGGUAGAGGCCGUAAGUUUGAGGGUCCAUACAAAAAAAAAAGACAAGAGUAGUGACACCUCCAUAGACACCAAGUCAGAGAAACAACAAAAAAUUCCAACUCUGGCUGG
Non-coding RNA from Pimephales promelas (fathead minnow), 459 nucleotides. The record is from RefSeq and is a predicted model, not a curated record. NCBI's taxonomy places the organism in Eukaryota, Metazoa, Chordata, Actinopteri, Cypriniformes, Leuciscidae.